AUAUCUCCCCAAAAAGUAGCAAGUGCUUCUUUCGACCAUGUCUGCUGACAUGAUCUUUAAUUUGGGAAAGACGGCGAGGAGCUGUGUGGAAGCAUCAUUGUCUGGGAUGUCAGAGACUCGGAAAAGCCCUAAUUAAGGACUCAGAAUAAUUGACAGGUGGUGGAGGUUCACGAAAAGCACACUUGACAUGCAGCGGAACUCAGUGUCUGAGUUGCAAAAAAAUUGGCAAUUGGAGACCUUGAAAAACCAUUGCAGAUAAUCCUUUGUUGAUUACUUCUUGGAGCUAGCACCUACCAGGGAAAUGAGAGGAUUGCUGGGGGCCAUGGCUCCCGCCCCAACCGCCCAGAUGAGAAGUCCCAUCAGAGCCCAUCCUGAAGCUAUGUCCAGUGGGUCUCCUAAGCCAUUUGAUCAGAGAGACUUCCUGGCACAUACCUAAAAAGGAAAAUAUCACCACUGCACAACAGGUAAUGUGAGAAGAGCAGAAUGGAUGCAGUGGAAGUGAACAAGAGCCUGAACUCUCCCCUGCUCAGAGCUGCAUGUGGGAGCCGCACGGUCAGAAGGACAAGGCAUGGUUUGCAUGGCUCAGGGAACAGCUCGUUUAACUUCUUUGUGCCUCAUUUUACUGUUCUAUAGAAUAAGUUUAAUAAUAGUACUCUUUUCAUAGUGUGAUUGGGACAGGAGUAAAUGACCUAGCAUGUGCAAAGCAUUCAGAUCACUAUUUGGCACCUAGAAAAGGAACUAAACAUUUGUCACCACCGUA
Long non-coding RNA from Manis pentadactyla (Chinese pangolin), 760 nucleotides. RefSeq lists it as uncharacterized. The transcript is spliced from 3 exons. The record is from RefSeq and is a predicted model, not a curated record. NCBI's taxonomy places the organism in Eukaryota, Metazoa, Chordata, Mammalia, Pholidota, Manidae.